This 29-nucleotide small RNA is filed under the name Bombyx mori (domestic silkworm). RNAcentral describes it as "ovarian small RNA-4702". Lineage: Eukaryota; Metazoa; Arthropoda; Insecta; Lepidoptera; Bombycidae. The record is from RNAcentral.
CAGCAAAGUGUUUGCGGACCUCAACCGCC